Molecule: long non-coding RNA, 202 nt
Filed under: Pan troglodytes (chimpanzee)
Lineage: Eukaryota; Metazoa; Chordata; Mammalia; Primates; Hominidae
Description: long non-coding RNA NONPTRT012987
Source: RNAcentral
AUACUUUAGAUUAUUAUAUUAUUCUUAAAUGUUUGCCUAAACAUUUGUAACAAGAGUUUGGUUGAAAUAGCAGAUGACUCCAUACUUGGCAAUUAGUCUGCUGCAAAGAUAUAUUUUCUAAUUCCUCUUUAGGUGAAGAACUAUAAAUAAGAUCAAAACAAAUUAACAAUUAGGUAAUUGUUUGGGUUCUAAUGAGUAUUUC